RNAcentral lists this ribosomal RNA (497 nucleotides) under uncultured bacterium. Its description in RNAcentral is "partial 16S ribosomal RNA". It matches the Rfam family "Bacterial small subunit ribosomal RNA", at positions 28 to 507 of the family's 1533-position model. The record is from RNAcentral.
GAUGAACGCUGGCGGCGUGCCUAAUACAUGCAAGUCGAGCGAACGGACGAGAAGCUUGCUUUUCUGAUGUUAGCGGCGGACGGGUGAGUAACACGUGGAUAACCUACCUAUAAGACUGGGAUAACUUCGGGAAACCGGAGCUAUUACCGGAUAAUAUUUUGAACCGCAUUGUUCAAAAGUGAAAGACGGUCUUGCUGUCACUUAUAGAUGUAUCCGCGCUGCAUUAGCUAGUUGGUAAGGUAACGGCUUACCAAGGCAACGAUGCAUAGCCGACCUGAGAGGGGGAGCGGACACACUGGAACUGAGACACGGUCCAGACUACUACGGGAGGCAGCAGUAGGGAAUCUUCCGCAAUGGGCGAAAGCCUGACGGAGCAAAGCAGCGUGAGUGAUGAAGGUAUUCGGAUCGUAAAACACUGUUAUUAGGGAAGAACAGAUGUGUAAGUAACGGUGCACAUCUUGACGGUACCUAAUCAGAAAGCCACGGCUAACUACGUG